GAUGAACGCUGGCGGCGUGCCUAAUACAUGCAAGUCGAGCGAACGGACGAGAAGCUUGCUUCUCUGAUGUUAGCGGCGGACGGGUGAGUAACACGUGGAUAACCUACCUAUAAGACUGGGAUAACUUCGGGAAACCGGAGCUAAUACCGGAUGAUAUUUUGAACCGCAUGGUUCAAAAGUGAAAGACGGUCUUGCUGUCACUUAUAGAUGGAUCCGCGCUGCAUUAGCUAGUUGGUAAGGUAACGGCUUACCAAGGCAACGAUGCAUAGCCGACCUGAGAGGGUGAUCGGCCACACUGGAGCUGAGACACGGUCCAGACUCCUACGGGAGGCAGCAGUAGGGAAUCUUCCGCAAUGGGCGAAAGCCUGACGGAGCAACGCCGCGUGAGCGAUGAAGGUCUUCGGAUCGUAAAACUCUGUUAUUAGGGAAGAACAUAUGUGUAAGUAACUGUGCACAUCUUGACGGUACCUAAUCAGAAAGCCACGGCUAACUACGUG
This 497-nucleotide ribosomal RNA is filed under the name uncultured bacterium. Its description in RNAcentral is "partial 16S ribosomal RNA". It matches the Rfam family "Bacterial small subunit ribosomal RNA", at positions 28 to 507 of the family's 1533-position model. The record is from RNAcentral.